Molecule: transfer RNA, 74 nt
Filed under: Cordylochernes scorpioides
Lineage: Eukaryota; Metazoa; Arthropoda; Arachnida; Pseudoscorpiones; Chernetidae
Description: tRNA-Thr
Source: RNAcentral
UGUCCAGGGUGGGAAUCGAACCCACAACCUUCUGCUUACCGGGCAGGUGCCAUGUCCACUAGGCUACCCUGGAC